RNAcentral lists this ribosomal RNA (491 nucleotides) under uncultured bacterium. Its description in RNAcentral is "partial 16S ribosomal RNA". It matches the Rfam family "Bacterial small subunit ribosomal RNA", at positions 899 to 1397 of the family's 1533-position model. The record is from RNAcentral.
ACUCAAAUGAAUUGACGGGGACCCGCACAACCGGUGGAGCGUGUGGUUCAAUUCGAGACAAAGCGAAAAACCUUACCAAGGUUUGACAUGUUACCGUUUUAUACCUAUGGAAACACUGGUAGAUCCGUAAGGAUGGUAACACAGGUGUUGCAUGGCUGUCGUCAGCUCGUGCCGUGAGGUGUUCCCUUAAGUGGGGAAACGAGCGCAACCCUCGUCGAAUGUUAAAUAUUCAUUCGAGACGGUCCCAAUUUUGUUGGGAAGGAAGGCGGGGAAGACGUCAAGUCAGCACGGCCCUUAUACCUUGGGAUACACACACCCUACAAUGGCGAAAAACAACGUGUUGCAAGCAUGUAAAUGCAAGCUAAUCACUCAAAUUUCGCCUCAGUUCAGAUUGAGGUCUGCAACCCGACCUCAUGAAGUCGGAAUCGGUAGUAAUCGCAGAUCAGCAGGCUGCGGUGAAUACGUUCUCGGGUCUUGUACACACCGCCCGU